CAUUAACUUCUUAAAUUGGAUACAUAAUCUAUUUUAGAAAAUGCUUCUUAUUAUUAGCAGUGUGGUCUACCCAUUUUUCAGUGAACUGUUUUAGCUGUUCUGAUGCAUAUUUUCAUUGUCACUAUUUUCUAAGAAGUUUUUAGAGUUUGUUUGGAUUUUCCUUCUCCUUCAAUAUCUUCACAGUUUAUCAUAUGCAGAGCUUUAUCCUUUAAAAUGGCGCGCUUCACAUUCAUCUCGUCUAUAGGUCUGACUUUUAUUCCUUUCUCCUUACAGCUUACCUGUUAAAGAGCCUGGAGUAUGUGAGUUACCGAGCUUCCUACAACCUAGUUUUGCAAUUCAUCUUUGCCUUCUACCUCUUAUAUUCUUUUUGAAUUAGCAGUUAGAUCAGACCUGGGUUCUGUUCCUUUGGCAAGACCAAGAGAGAUGGUUGUUCAGGCACAUGAGCUGCUUACUCUUCAGUGGACGGAAGUGUAUGGGCAUCUCAAAAAUUCACAGGAUCAUUCCAAUUCACAGUUGGUAUUAAUUUCUCCCAUAAGACUUCUCAGUAUUAUAGCGACUCGUCUCCUUUCUCCCAGGGAAAGAGUUUUUAAAAAUCCAAACUACAAAGUCGUCCCAGAAAUAGAAGAGGUGAAGUAACCUCAAGAGCUCACUGGAAUAUAAUUUGAGGCGAGAAGAGCUAUCACCUCCAACCAUAGCGAGUAUGGUAAGAGUCAGAAGGGAAAUGAAGCCGGAGAAAAAGCUAAGGAAGGAAGACAGUGAACACACCAUCAGGAGACACCGCCCACGUUUCCAGGUGUUUCCUCCAGGUCAGAGUGCCACCUGCUCUGUGCUCUCUCUCAGGAUGGGAGAGAGAGCUGCAACGAUUCUCAGCUCCACUCAAACCAGUACGGUGUAUCACAUCAGGGACUGAACAAGCAGGAUCUUAAAUUCCAAUAUGGGGUACACAGAAAAGUGGUUUUUACUUUUUGCUGUGAAAGGAAAACCUGUAUUGAGCACCCACACUCACUGUAGUUUGUUUUUCUCACCUUGUUUUUUAUUUCUGUCAAAUGAAAAUAGUACAUUAUAAUUUCAUUCACUUUAUUCAGCAGAUCUCACUCUUCCUCCAAGUCACAAUGACCAUGGAAUAAAGAAUUUUUGAAAAAUUCAGGACACAGAGGCAGCCAGGACGGUGCAACUCAGGGCACCCAGGAAAGAGGACUUGCGGAACUGCUUCAGAAAGCGUCAAGGAUGAUGAGAUUAGCGUGUUUGAAGGGAAGCGGAGCAUUUUGAAGGGGAUUUGAUGUGUUCUUUAUUGUAAUACAUUUUGCUGUUGAUGUUGCUGUUGAUGUGUCCUUUAUUGUAAUACAUUUCAAAACCUUAAGGGCUAGGGAUUUAGCUCCGUGGCAUUAGUGCCUGUCAGGCAACCAUGAGAUCAUGAGUUUGAUCCCCUGUACAAAAACAAAACAAAACAAAAAAUAAAAUUUUAAACAUAUUACACCUUAUACAAAUAUUAAAAAUAAAACUAAAGUUGAAUGUUA
Long non-coding RNA from Cavia porcellus (domestic guinea pig), 1517 nucleotides. RefSeq lists it as uncharacterized. NCBI's taxonomy places the organism in Eukaryota, Metazoa, Chordata, Mammalia, Rodentia, Caviidae. The record is from RefSeq and is a predicted model, not a curated record. The transcript has 2 exons.